AACGCGAAGAACCUUACCGGGGCUUGACAUCCUGCGCUAUCCUAGGAGACUAGGUUUCCGGGCAACCGGACGCAGAGACAGGUGCUGCAUGGCUGUCGUCAGCUCGUGCCGUGAGGUGUUGGGUUAAGUCCCGCAACGAGCGCAACCCUUGCCGUGUGUUGGUCGCAAGAUCUCUCACGCGAGACCGCCGGUGAGAAGCCGGAGGAAGGUGGGGAUGACGUCAAGUCAGCAUGGCCCUUACGUCCCGGGCUACACACGUGCUACAAUGGGUAGGACAACGAGUCGCAAACUAGUGAUAGUAAGCUAAUCUCUUAAACCUGCCCUCAGUUCGGAUUGAAGGCUGCAACUCGCCUUCAUGAAGUCGGAAUCGCUAGUAAACGCAGAUCAGCUACGCUGCGUUGAAUACGUUCCCGGGCCUUGUACACACCGCGCAUA
Molecule: ribosomal RNA, 435 nt
Filed under: uncultured bacterium
Lineage: Bacteria
Description: bacterial SSU rRNA
Rfam family: Bacterial small subunit ribosomal RNA
Source: RNAcentral